AGGACGAACGCUGGCGGCGUGCUUAACACAUGCAAGUCGAGCGGUAAGGCCUUUCGGGGUACACGAGCGGCGAACGGGUGAGUAACACGUGGGUGAUCUGCCCUGCACUCUGGGAUAAGCCUGGGAAGCUGGGUCUAAUACCGGAUAUGACCUGCUCUCGCAUGGGGGGUGGUGGAAAGUAUUUAGUCGGUGCAGGGAUCGGGCCCGCGGCCUAUCAGCUUGGUUGGGUGGGUAAUGGCCUACCGAAGGCCGACGACGGGUAGCCGACU
RNAcentral lists this ribosomal RNA (269 nucleotides) under uncultured soil bacterium. Its description in RNAcentral is "partial 16S ribosomal RNA". It matches the Rfam family "Bacterial small subunit ribosomal RNA", at positions 26 to 292 of the family's 1533-position model. The record is from RNAcentral.